UUUCAUUUCAGUCAUGGAAAAAUGUAGAUUUGGGUUUUUUUAUCAGAAUUUUGGCAUUUUUUUAACAAUGAAAACCAGUAUCCUUGAUGAUCAUUGACACUCCCUGCAGUUGGUUGACAAGCUUGAUAUUGGAGCUGACUGUGAAGGUGCUACAUAGCAAGAGCUGUACAAAUUCAUUAACUUUAUCAAAAGCAAUCACAGCGGCUUUGGGUACACAUGUGGAGAACUUGGUCUAGCUGCUUUUUCUGUGGUUAUGGUUUUAAAAAGAGAGAGACUGGAAUAGGGUAAGCCUAGAAGUUAUGAUAUUUCACUGACUGCUGCAGGGAGUCCAGCACAUGGCUGUUUUUGCUUUGAACCUAGUACAUUUGAUGCACAGUUCAAAUAUCUUAUGAAAGCAGUCUACAGAGGCAGCCUGUAUUGGGUAGAUCUGCAACUUAGGCAAACUUUGUCCCAGAAUGUUUUGGCCAGAUACAGUGGGACUUAAUUGAAGAAUUUCAGUGGAAGACCACAGCAGUCACCCCAGCAGGUUCUUCACUUGCUGGAUUCUGGAUUAAUAAAUGUUGUUUAAUUGGCAAAUUAUAUUUACCUGGCUAAGAACUACUUAAAUACACACGCUGCUUUUUCACCACUGGAUUAUCCAGAGCUACAGUCCAGCAAAGCCAGAAGUCUGUAAUUAAUUUACUAAUGCUGAAUUCAAGCAGCCAAACUUGAUCUCCUGCUCAGUUCUCUUAUAAGAAACCAGUAGUAGCUUUAUUUUCCACUGACAUCCUGGAGACCACUUGCAGGUAAACACAGCUGGGCAAGAAAGCUCUUUUAGGAACUUUUGUUGAGCUAUUGUUCCAAGUAUCCAAGUAGGCAGGAAACAGUUUUUCCUGUAACCCAUAAUCAGAUGGAGGAUUUGAAUGUAUCUUUAAAAAAAAUCCAGAUCUCUUCACUGUUCCUCUUGUGUCACUUGUAAAUCAUUGACAGGGUUGUUCCAUGUGUGGUGUCUCCUGCAAGGACAAAGAGAGGAAAUGCUUACAGCAUGUUAAAGGAGGCAACCCUUAUGUAAACUAGCAGUAAAUAAAACAGUGACAGAUUAGACGCUUGUACUAAACAGAGCUUUAUUAUCCUGUAUCUUCAAAAUGGUGAGCUUGGCACAAGACACCUUUGUCAUGGGUAGUUACCACUCUCAAAAAAGCUGACCAGGAAGUUGUACCCUGAGCCAACUACAUUUUGGGGGCAGUUAGUAUUCCAGAAUUACCAAAUGAUUUACUUGGUGGAUUGGUUUUAAAUGUUGGAUUGUUUACUUAAAAGCUUACUUUACGGUUGUAUUUAAGUGACGCAUUUAAUAGGUCAGUGCUGUUUUUAACAAGCCAUUAAACCAGACUCCUGAGAUGUGGAGGGAGCCAAGAGGUCUUGACAAUGAAAGUUUAAUGGAGUUAAGCAUAACAGCCACUCGACUUUAAAUUACAGCUCCUUAGGAUGUGUCUAGUUCCCAUCAACGUUAAACAUCUGAUUCCCAUUUCAUACAAUACAGCGGAGCAGAACUGAGCGUGUCGACUUUAUGUAAUUACACGUUUAAAAGUCUCCUGUCAAAUCUUGAGCGAGGCUCAAACGUAUCCAAAGGAGCUUCUGAAGCCAGCCCCUCCUGCCAGCUUUUUUAAAGCUAACAAUGGGUUAACAAUGCUGGCUGAGGUUCAGUCGGAGUUGGGAGCAUUUGUAGUUCAGAGGUUCUGGUUUGGAAGGAGCUCUGGGAGUGUGGGAGGAGCUCGUGAAGCUGAUUAUGUGCCCAUGCAGGCUACAGUUUCACUGUGCUGGAGCCCCGACAGCAGCUGAAAUGGAGUCCUUGGUGUGAAAAGCAGCCUCCCAUCAAUGCAUUUGCAGCACUAAUUCCUGUUUUCAGGGGAGGGGUGUCACAAGGAUUGUAGGGGGCUAUGCAGGCAAUGAGAAGGUGUCACAUUUUGAUGGAGUUUUAAUUUUUCUAGUUCAUGUCUUGUGCACAGGCUUUUUCCUUCCCCCCUCCUUUCCCAUCCUCUUCCCUCUACAGUCUAGCCUUUGUUUAAUGCUGACUGUCUAAACGCUAGAGAAAAUGGAUGUUUAACAUCACUGUUUACAUGGGGCCUGGUUUCUGUGUGCUUUCAGAGCCCUCUUGUGUUUCCCAUACAUGUAUCUUAUCCAAGGCUGGCAAAAGUGGGAGUCUUGCUCAGCAAGUCUCAGUCUAGAGGAACUUCUCUUUGAAUUCCUUUCUUUUCAGUAUCUUUGCUGGCAGCCCUUGUUACACUUUUGGGGUGAGGCUGCUUUAAACUGGCUAGUAGGAAAUGGUGUUUCAAGAAGCUGCCCCUCAAAAUUCAGCCAUGGUCCUGAAUUCUGCUGACUUGGGGGAAAAAGUUCCUUUUGAAUUAUUAUCCUGAAGCCAAUUGCUGUAGCCAAGGAAAGUUGGAACUGAUAAACUACCUGGUGUUGAGCAGUCCUGGUGGACAAGUGCAUGCAGAGAGGGAGUCUGCAAAGAAGUCCAGUGAUCAGAGAAACUGGAAAUUGGUGAUGGAGCCAUUGGAGAGAGUAGUAAUCCUUUCUCUUUGAGCAGGCACAAGCUGGAAGGCCCAGGACCACUUCAUUUGUGCCCUAAGCUGACAGCUCAGGGACAGCACUUUGAAAUGUAGAGGUAAUGAAUGUUUGUAUGGCCUUUCUUAUUGGACCACUGAGCAGGACAAUGGGAACCAAACUCUCAUUGUGUCAUACCAGACUAGGUUUGCAGUUAGUCCUUUAGCUCUUGGGUUCCUCUCAUCAGUGAAAUGUAAAUGUUUACCUGCCGAUGCUCCUUGUGUUCUUGCUUGAAACUGAACCAUGCAAGUUGAGUAACCACCAUGUAAGUUGUACAAUUGGGUUGUAGCCGGCAGCUCACAAUUGCAGUAAUAGGGCAUGCCCUAUGCUUUGCCUUUGAUUAGAUGCCAUUGUAGACACUUGACCUUUUUUGCAAGGCUUUGGGUUUUGUUUUGUUUUUUUCCUUAAAUUUGGUGGGGGUUGUAUGUGGGGAGGGGGGAAACUCCAAGUGCUGUUUGAGAGUAGCCUUUAUAUGUUUCCCAGACUUUCAAACAAUGAACCUUGAGGCCUGAAUUAGAUUCAACAUUUUUUCAACAGAUGUUCACGUCCAGCUGGCCAUUAGUACUGUCAGGCAACCUGCUUAAUGCCCACCUGGGGCAAUACAGACUAGAGGCUGAAGAACACCCCCAUUUAUUUACUCGAGUAUCCUUCGUCUGUGAUGGAGGCAAUAUUGAUUUCUGCAAACUAAUAGCAAUGUCUUUCUCCAUAGCAGCUGUCAAGUACAAAAUGAAUGGGGUGGAGGAGGGGUGCUUUAUAACUCUUCCAUUCUAAGCCACUUUUGUUUGUGCCUCUUCUCCUGUAAUGCAAGAAAAAUUGUGGGUGGUGAUGUUUUAGCAGAUCACCUGGAGAAUAGUUGACUUACAAAAUGGAGCAAUGUUUCAGAUUUCUAGCUGACAUCAGACCUGGGACAUGUUUUUAACUAGGGUAGUCUAUGCCAGUCUUAGGCUGAAUCCACUGUCUGCUCACUUCUACGUAAGGUCACCUCAGCCUAGAGAUGACCUCCAACAGGGCAACAUAGCACCGCAGUGCUUGUGUGGCUCCUGCCUGGGCUGAGACUAUUUUUGUGGCUACCUGGAGAGAUCUCCGCUUUGGUGCCAUGAAUCAUGCUUUUGUAACAAACACUACAUUGGCUUCAUUCACUUUUUAAAGGACACUACAUUGUUUUACACAAACGAGAAUGAGAAGCCAAAAUAUUUGGAGCCAGGGUACCCCAUGAACCAAUCAGGUGGUACCUCUGUUUGCUCACACUACCGAGUCAGACAGCUGGGCCUCGACUAUGAAUUGCCUGACUGUCUCUUUUUUUAAAGGGUAUCCUAAACACAGUGUUUAGGUUUGUCUGCAUGUUGACAUGCCUGCCUUUCCGUGGGAAGGGGGGGAGGUACUGGAUGACUCCAGUGCCAGGAGAUCUAGGGCUGCUUUGGUAUAUUCUGUAAAUUGCUAUAGUUUCCUUCUUGGCAUACGUCCACAUUCAUCUCUUCUGGCCAACGUGAAGAUGGGCUUUUUGGUGAAAUGCCAAAGUACAUGAAGGAAGGGGGCGGGGGGUGGAGGGGAAAGGGACUCCUAGUUUCUAAACAGAUCCCAAAUGCUGCUGUGUUAAGGCUGAUUGUACUGAACAAACACAAGCCCGCAGCGGUGACUCUGAGCUCGGGUGACUGACUCCUGGGAGCUUUUUGGCUGUGUGUUACAGCAACGAGUUGGAACUUCUCUGCCUGCCUGCUUCUCCAUUCGAAAGAUCCUCUUCAGCUAUUCUUCAUUGUGCUAUAGAUACCUAAUCCCUUGAUAUGUGGUCUGCAAGCCUUUGACAGGCAGCAUGUCUUACACCAGUUUAAAACCUUGAAGAAAGGUUAUUUAGGGUUUGAUGCAUAAACAGAGAUUGCCAGAUGAGUGAGACACGUGGUAUGGGAGAAGGGUGACUGCUUCCGGUAACUAAGACCUGGGAGGGGAGUUGCUCACUCAGAAUGACUUUGCUGUCUCUUAGUAUUUCUGCCCAGUAAUUGCUUCAGUCAGACCAUGCUUCAUGGUAAGCUGCUGGGCAAGUGGCUUUAGACAAUAGUGCGAGGAUGAUCUCUCAGCAGACCACAGGACUUCAGUAGGCACUGCAGUAAAUUCUUUGCAAGUUGUGUGCGUGAGCAUGUUCAAACUUGCAUUUGCCUCGUAGCCUUUACAGUCUAUGGGAUAAAGAGCAUUUUUGCAAAUGAGCAUGUUGCAUUAUUUGAAUUUGCCCAAUGGACUAGAAGAGCUAAUACACCUUUUUAUUAAUUAAACUAAAUAUCUGCUAAACGGUAUCUCCAAAGACUACGCUUAACACAAACAGCCAAUUUCUAUCAUUUGUUUGACAAGCUGACUUUUUUUAAUAUGGUUUGAUACAUGUGAAAAUGAACUGACAAAACGCUAGUUAAUCUUGUGACACAAUCACGUAGCCAGGAAAUCAAUGCAAAGUAUUAUCUUCUACUCUGCAGUUAACUUAAUUGCAGUGCCUAUGCAUUGUAGCACACAUCCUAUGCAAUGCCAUGCAACUCUAAACUAGCUCACUGCUCGCUGCCUUGGGCAAGAAAGGCCUUAGCCUUAAUUUCUAACACCUUGUACAUACUUAAAAGACAGUGACAAACUAAAAUGAGUUAAGGUGAAAAUUGCAUAAUGUAAAAGCACAGUGUCAGACUGCCCAUUGAAGUGUCUUUUAUAAAGCACCAAAACAGCAUCCACAACAGAAGCAGCCUAUUUGCUGUGAUAGUCUCAAUUUUAUGAAAACUGUGUACUAGAUAAAAUUUAUAUUGUGAUGUGUACAAAGUGUAUUUUAUAGCUUUGGUGAAUUAGUUUACUGUUUUGUAUAUAUGAAUUUUAUAAAUCUAUUAAAACUUGACUUGUUAUACUGUUCA
This is a long non-coding RNA of Gavialis gangeticus (Gharial), 5459 nucleotides long. RefSeq lists it as uncharacterized. Lineage: Eukaryota; Metazoa; Chordata; Crocodylia; Gavialidae. The transcript is spliced from 2 exons. The record is from RefSeq and is a predicted model, not a curated record.